RNAcentral lists this ribosomal RNA (253 nucleotides) under uncultured bacterium. RNAcentral describes it as "partial 16S ribosomal RNA". It matches the Rfam family "Bacterial small subunit ribosomal RNA", at positions 524 to 776 of the family's 1533-position model. The record is from RNAcentral.
UACGGAGGGUGCAAGCGUUAAUCGGAUUUAUUGGGCGUAAAGGGGGCGUAGGCGGAAAAGCAAGCCAGAUGUGAAAGCCCGGGGCUCAACCCCGGAACGGCAUUUGGAACUACUUUCCUUGAGGAUAGGCGGAGAAAAUGGAAUUCCACAAGUAGCGGUGAAAUGCGUAGAUAUGUGGAAGAACACCGGUGGCGAAAGCGGUUUUCUAGCUUAUUCCUGACGCUAAGGCCCGAAAGCUAGGGGAGCAAACAGG